AAUGGAAGUGGUCUCACUCCCAAAUUCUAAAUACAAAAAUAGUUAUGCCCAAAUUAGUGACAACUGUUCACUUUCUGUCAACUAAUUUUAUACCAUUUCUUCGCCUAAACCAUUUUCCAUUGAUUUCUCCUGUUUCUGUGACAUGGAGUAUAACUUAUUAAGAAAUAAUGAGCUUGGUACCGCCAUGGCUAAUUGAUUGAAUGAUCAAAGAGAAUAAGUAAAUGAGCGAGUAUAAUCUCAUAUUAUGUGUUGUGCACUGUACUUGUAGGUCGAGACGAGGAUAUCGUCCUAUUACCACCGGGAACCAAUCACUCAUUUAUGUUGUUUAGGGAUCGGUGAGAACAUUGAAAGAUUAUGUGCACUUCGGUAUGACGCUGAAACUACUCUACAUUCUGGUUAUGGUUAAUGGUUAUCCUUAAGGCACUCCACCUGGAGGUCAGUUUUAACCCAUGGCAUCCGUGCCUCUUUUGUCAACCUCAGAGUAUCCAGGCACUUAAGUGAAGGCAGCCUUUUUGCUAAACUUUUGAUUUUACACUCUGAUUGUUUGCUUAAGGUUGAUGUAUAUAUAAUUCCUUUGCCUGUCCAUGUUGUUUUACGCCCAAUUCUAAGGGCUGGGUCUGUAUAUAUAUAUGUACAUAACUAACUCUCUGGUGCACGUCACUGUAUGUUUAUUUGUCUUAUGUUCUGUCUGCGAUCCUGGCAUGAUAGUGGUCGCUCAAUGGAUGCAGUUCUUUUAUUUAUGUUAA
This is a non-coding RNA of Camellia sinensis, 746 nucleotides long. Lineage: Eukaryota; Viridiplantae; Streptophyta; Magnoliopsida; Ericales; Theaceae. The record is from RefSeq and is a predicted model, not a curated record.